Molecule: non-coding RNA, 74 nt
Organism: Trichomalopsis sarcophagae
Lineage: Eukaryota; Metazoa; Arthropoda; Insecta; Hymenoptera; Pteromalidae
Source: Rfam
GUAGACGUUAGCUGAGUGGUUGGAGCACAGGCCUCUGACUCUCGGGUUCGCGAGUUCGAGUCCCGUCGUCUACU